ACAAAGUAGUGAGAGGGAUAGUGGGAAGCCCAGUGGGAUAAGCUGGAACGAGAUGGUUUUGGCCUAAAUUCGGCUAAUUUCCUCACUGGUGAAACCUUUGAUCUCAAUGCAGUUUUCUGUUCCCAAAAUUAGAAUCUGUUAAGAACAGAGUGGACUAAGUUUUGCAGUCGUUACUCUUUGCCAAAAAUUGCGUUGAUUAGGAGUGCAAAGGCGAAUUUAGUUAUUGCGCACAUGCAUUUCAGAGUAUGUGUUCCCUAACGAAACUAUGCAAAUUCACAAUUUGAUCAAACGGAAACGAAAAUAGAUUUACACCAGUUAACACUUGGAACACACCGGCACUGCAUUUUUGUACACCAUAAUUACUUUAAUUUCCAAUGAAACGCUGCGUUUGCCUUGCAGCAUUGCGUUGCAGUGCGUAACUGUAAACGGCUUGACAGAAAUGGUAGCAGAAGGUGAAUGUUGAACUUUUGUUGCAUACAUUUCCAGAUGAAGCUGCAUACUAUUUUGCCCAAAAACGCUAUCGGUGUGUUCGAAAAGUAACGCUUAAACGGCAAGAUGUUUUCGUAACAGGACGGACGUUGACAUUGUCCUCACGUGAAUAGCAUGACACACUUUUAAUGUCAAUGCUAAGGCUAGCCGACUAAACUUAACUCUAUGAUUUACGAUGAAGUUGGGCAGCGAAUAGUGUGGGCGAAUUGGAGCUCCGAAGUCAUAUUAAAUUACGUGUUUAUAUUUAAUAAACUAUAUUUUAGAUAGAACAAUGUCGUGUGUAAUUUCGGGCUAUUCUUUGGGUACUGAAAUCAGUAGGUUUUGAUAAAAACGUAAUUUGAUGUGACGUCUGUGCUCUAGUUCGCCCACACGAAUGGCCUCUCAACUCUGUCGUAAAUCGUGUCGUUGCGUUUAAUCGUCUAAGUCAAAACCACGAUUUUCCAAUGAUGAGGGAUAAGAAUUUGCCAAGAAAAUUAUUUUGUAAUAUUAUAAUUAUACUGUAUAGACAUGCUGGUUAGAUAUGAAUAAGGACACCAUCACUGUCAGUCAGAUGUGUUUGUGACAUUGUUGCUGGAUGCAUGAAUGAAUGGUUUAGAUGUUUCACCAAAGGAAUAUGCAGGCAUUUCUCCUUCCCUGUGGAUUCUAAGUUAUGUUGGCCUGAUCUUGGCAGUGGUUACCUUCUGAAGAUGUGGCAUUCCAUUCUCACUUGAACUAGGCCCCAUGGCCUUGUUUUGGCUCCAAGCUGUGACUGGGAGCUUCUACUUUUGCAGGUUUCUGCAUGGGGGGUGCAGUGAACCGGGACCAGGUUCUAGAGCAGCUUGGCACCUGCUAAGGUGAAGACCAAGUGUUGGAGGUGGUGGGCAAGAACAAGGCUAAACUGACUGUGAACCAUGUUGGCUGUGCCAUGGUCAUGCUCUGGCAGUUCCAGUGAGAGAAGCAACAGAUGCUGAGAACGUUUUGAGUUCUUUAAAAGCCACCCUGAGUUCCUGACUCUCCGGGUGCUGGCUGGGAACUAAAUUGAGCUCGUGGAUGAUUUCACAUUGGUGGACAUGCUCUAAAAUGUUCUCAGGUACAGAUGUUGGCUAGGUGGGUAAGCCUAUAUCAGUCCUGAAAUGUUUUUAAAAAAACGUUUUCACAUCAACCUUGUAUCUUUGAAGGCUCAAUGUGGAACCAUAUGAUUAUCUUGUUCAUCAUUUGGUCUCAGAGGCUUGGCUUAGAUUAUGCAGGUAAAAUAUAUGUAUAUUUGCCAUUAAAUACAGCAGAAUCAUUGAGGGGUGUGAGCUGGUGUACAGAUGUAAAUUCACUGUUUUGCAGAUUUCUGAUGCCUUCACUGUUUAAGUUUGCUGUCUCCCUAAGUGAUCAACAUCUGCAGAACAGUCCUCUGAUGGGUCAGAUCACUGACAUUUUGAAUAAAAAAUUCUCCACAAUUGAUGAUGUGAGGCUGGAGAGUACAACACUGCUUUAGGCAGAGGAGUUUAAUGCCAGCGGGCCCUGGCUGUGGCAGAGACACUGGAGGAGAUUCAGCGUAGAAACCUGCAGCUGAUCCAAAGAUUGUGUCAGUAGUCCACAAGAACCUACAUGUUUUCAAGCCCAUUGAGAUAUCCAGGAUCACACAAACCCUGAUCCUGCUGCAUUACCAGAGUCCAGAGCUCUUCACUAAAUUAAGGAACAUCCUAGUUCAGACAGUGUCUACCCAUAUGAGGUGACCAUGCUACCUGGACUCGACGAAGGCGUAAUUUCAUGGGUGGAUGCAGUGCUGCUCCAGUGUAAUCUGAAUGAACCUUUGCAAUGGCUGUCGCUAAGUGGGUGAGCAAUGACCCGUCCUACCGACACAACACUCCCAGCAAGUGUGUGCGUCUGCUGCACUGAACCGCUGCGUGCAUGAGUGCCUGCGCAAGGCUGAGUGCCUGGACCGGAUGUUGGAGGAGCUCAAGUACAUGUCAGGGGAAUGGUUUGAGGAGAUUCUGCUGGAGGAGACCAUGGUUACGCUCCGGAGGCUGGAGAACCAGAUAUCUGGGCCAAUGUGCCCGAGAUGGCCCUUUUUCUGACCAUGACUAGUCACCUCUCUACUCCAUUAAUGGACCGCGUAGCUAGCAUGACCAUGGAGCACAUCAACAAGUACUCAGCAACUUCAUGCCACCGUGCUGCCCUUUGCUGUACUGAAUUAUAAUCCAGCAAGGGUGGAUGAGCUGUUUGACAUCUGCAUUCAGCACUUCAUACCUCACAUCA
Non-coding RNA from Oncorhynchus mykiss (rainbow trout), 2718 nucleotides. The record is from RefSeq and is a predicted model, not a curated record. NCBI's taxonomy places the organism in Eukaryota, Metazoa, Chordata, Actinopteri, Salmoniformes, Salmonidae.